CAAACGGCUCUUUUUAGAGCCAUCGAAAAUUAUUCCUCAAGAGUUGU
This is a non-coding RNA of Aedes albopictus (Asian tiger mosquito), 47 nucleotides long. NCBI's taxonomy places the organism in Eukaryota, Metazoa, Arthropoda, Insecta, Diptera, Culicidae. The record is from Rfam.